This 467-nucleotide ribosomal RNA is filed under the name uncultured bacterium. RNAcentral describes it as "partial 16S ribosomal RNA". It matches the Rfam family "Bacterial small subunit ribosomal RNA", at positions 29 to 507 of the family's 1533-position model. The record is from RNAcentral.
ACGCACGCUGGCGGCGUGCUUCACACAUGCCAGUCGCACGGAAAGGCCCUGCUUUUGUGGGGUGCUCGAGUGGCGAACGGGUGAGUAACACGUGAGUAACCUGCCCUUGACUUUGGGAUAACUUCAGGAAACUGGGGCUAAUACCGGAUAGGAGCUCCUGCUGCAUGGUGGGGGUUGGAAAGUUUCGGCGGUUGGGGAUGGACUCGCGGCUUAUCAGCUUGUUGGUGGGGUAGUGGCUUACCAAGGCUUUGACGGGUAGCCGGCCUGAGAGGGUGACCGGCCACAUUGGGACUGAGAUACGGCCCAGACUCCUACGGGAGGCAGCAGUGGGGAAUAUUGCACAAUGGGCGGAAGCCUGAUGCGGCAACGCCGCGUGCGGGAUGACGGCCUUCGGGUUGUAAACCGCUUUCGCCUGUGACGAAGCGUGAGUGACGGUAAUGGGUAAAGAAGCACCGGCUAACUACGUG